GUAGGGAAUAUUGCUCAAUGGGGGAAACCCUGAAGCAGCAACGCCGCGUGGAGGAUGAAGGUUUUAGGAUUGUAAACUCCUUUUGUAAGAGAAGAUUAUGACGGUAUCUUACGAAUAAGCACCGGCUAACUCCGUGCCAGCAGCCGCGGUAAUACGGAGGGUGCAAGCGUUACUCGGAAUCACUGGGCGUAAAGAGCGCGUAGGCGGGUGGUCAAGUCAGAUGUGAAAUCCUGUAGCUUAACUACAGAACUGCAUUUGAAACUGAUCAUCUAGAGUAUGGGAGAGGUAGGUGGAAUUCUUGGUGUAGGGGUAAAAUCCGUAGAGAUCAAGAGGAAUACUCAUUGCGAAGGCGACCUGCUGGAACAUUACUGACGCUGAUGCGCGAAAGCGUGGGGAGCAAACAGG
RNAcentral lists this ribosomal RNA (405 nucleotides) under uncultured bacterium. RNAcentral describes it as "bacterial SSU rRNA". It matches the Rfam family "Bacterial small subunit ribosomal RNA", at positions 354 to 776 of the family's 1533-position model. The record is from RNAcentral.